This 967-nucleotide ribosomal RNA is filed under the name uncultured bacterium. RNAcentral's name for it is "bacterial SSU rRNA". It matches the Rfam family "Bacterial small subunit ribosomal RNA", at positions 538 to 1501 of the family's 1533-position model. The record is from RNAcentral.
GUGACGUUCGGAUUAUUGGGCGUAAGAGCUCGUAGGCGGUUUGUCGCGUCUGCCGUGAAAGUCCGGGGCUCAACUCCGGAUCUGCGGUGGGUACGGGCAGACUAGAGUGAUGUAGGGGAGACUGGAAUUCCUGGUGUAGCGGUGAAAUGCGCAGAUAUCAGGAGGAACACCGAUGGCGAAGGCAGGUCUCUGGGCAUUAACUGACGCUGAGGAGCGAAAGCAUGGGGAGCGAACAGGAUUAGAUACCCUGGUAGUCCAUGCCGUAAACGUUGGGCACUAGGUGUGGGGGACAUUCCACGUUUUCCGCGCCGUAGCUAACGCAUUAAGUGCCCCGCCUGGGGAGUACGGCCGCAAGGCUAAAACUCAAAGGAAUUGACGGGGGCCCGCACAAGCGGCGGAGCAUGCGGAUUAAUUCGAUGCAACGCGAAGAACCUUACCAAGGCUUGACAUGAACCGGUAAGACCUGGAAACAGGUCCCCCACUUGUGGCCGGUUUACAGGUGGUGCAUGGUUGUCGUCAGCUCGUGUCGUGAGAUGUUGGGUUAAGUCCCGCAACGAGCGCAACCCUCGUUCCAUGUUGCCAGCGCGUUAUGGCGGGGACUCAUGGGAGACUGCCGGGGUCAACUCGGAGGAAGGUGGGGACGACGUCAAAUCAUCAUGCCCCUUAUGUCUUGGGCUUCACGCAUGCUACAAUGGCCGGUACAAAGGGUUGCGAUACUGUGAGGUGGAGCUAAUCCCAAAAAGCCGGUCUCAGUUCGGAUUGGGGUCUGCAACUCGACCCCAUGAAGUCGGAGUCGCUAGUAAUCGCAGAUCAGCAACGCUGCGGUGAAUACGUUCCCGGGCCUUGUACACACCGCCCGUCAAGUCACGAAAGUUGGUAACACCCGAAGCCGGUGGCCUAACCCCUUGUGGGAGGGAGCUGUCGAAGGUGGGACUGGCGAUUGGGACUAAGUCGUAACAAGGUAACC